CGCAGCCGCGGUAAUUCCAGCUCCAAUAGCGUAUAUUAAAGUUGUUGCAGUUAAAAAGCUCGUAGUUGAAUUUCGGGGUCAGUAGGUUGGUCAUGCCACUGGUAUGUACUGGUCUCACUGAUUCCUCCUUCCUGAUGAACUGUAAUGCCAUUAAUUUGGUGUUGCAGGGAAUCUGGACUGUUACUUUGAAAAAAUUGAGUGUUUAAAGCAGGCUAACGCCUGAAUACAUUAGCGUGGAAUAAUGAAAUAGGACGUUCGAUCCUAUUUUGUUGGUUUCUAGGAUUGACGUAAUGGUUAAUAGGGAUAGUUGGGGGCAUUAGUAUUCAAUUGUCAGAGGUGAAAUUCUUGGAUUUAUUGAAGACUAACUACUGCGAAAGCAUUUGCCAAGGAUGUUUUCAUUAAUCAAGAACGAAGUUAGGGGAUCGAAGA
This 429-nucleotide ribosomal RNA is filed under the name uncultured Glomeromycotina. RNAcentral describes it as "SSU rRNA". It matches the Rfam family "Eukaryotic small subunit ribosomal RNA", at positions 569 to 1004 of the family's 1831-position model. Lineage: Eukaryota; Fungi; Glomeromycota. The record is from RNAcentral.